This 501-nucleotide ribosomal RNA is filed under the name uncultured bacterium. RNAcentral describes it as "partial 16S ribosomal RNA". It matches the Rfam family "Bacterial small subunit ribosomal RNA", at positions 30 to 523 of the family's 1533-position model. The record is from RNAcentral.
AUUGAACGCUGGCGGCAGGCUUAACACAUGCAAGUCGAGCGGAGAUGAGGUGCUUGCACCUUAUCUUAGCGGCGGACGGGUGAGUAAUGCUUAGGAAUCUGCCUAUUAGUGGGGGACAACAUUCCGAAAGGAAUGCUAAUACCGCAUACGUCCUACGGGAGAAAGCAGGGGAUCUUCGGACCUUGCGCUAAUAGAUGAGCCUAAGUCGGAUUAGCUAGUUGGUGGGGUAAAGGCCUACCAAGGCGACGAUCUGUAGCGGGUCUGAGAGGAUGUACCGCCACACGGGGCGUGAGACGCGGCCGAGACUCCUACGGGAGGCAGCAGUAGGGAAUAUUGGACAAUGGGGGAAACCCUGAUCCAGCCAUGCCGCGUGUGGGAAGAAGGCCUUAUGGUUGUAAAGCACUUUAAGCGAGGAGGAGGCUACUGAGACUAAUACUCUUGGAUAGUGGACGUUACUCGCAGAAUAAGCACCGGCUAACUCUGUGCCAGCCGCCGCGGUAA